This is a non-coding RNA of Zopfochytrium polystomum, 96 nucleotides long. Lineage: Eukaryota; Fungi; Chytridiomycota; Chytridiomycetes; Chytridiales; Chytridiaceae. The record is from the annotation of a GenBank genome assembly.
GCUCUGUUAACUCAGUUGGUUAGAGUGUAGUGCUAAUACGAUCACUUCUGGAGUGGAGAUACGCUAAAGUCAAAGGUUCGAUCCCUUUACAGAGCA